This 433-nucleotide ribosomal RNA is filed under the name uncultured bacterium. RNAcentral describes it as "partial 16S ribosomal RNA". It matches the Rfam family "Bacterial small subunit ribosomal RNA", at positions 29 to 507 of the family's 1533-position model. The record is from RNAcentral.
AACGAACGCUGGCGGCAUGCCUAACACAUGCAAGUCGAACGAGACCUUCGGGCCUAGUGGCGCACGGGUGCGUAACGCGGGGGAACCUGCCCUUAGGUUCGGAAUAACUCCCCGAAAGGGGUGCUAAUACCGGAUAAUGUCUUCGGACCAAAGAUCUAUCGCCUUUGGAUGGGCCCGCGUUGGAUUAGCUAGUUGGUAGGGUAAAAGCCUACCAAGGCGACGAUCCAUAGCUGGUCUGAGAGGAUGAUCAGCCACACUGGGACUGAGACACGGCCCAGACUCCUACGGGAGGCAGCAGUGGGGAAUAUUGGACAAUGGGCGAAAGCCUGAUCCAGCAAUGCCGCGUGAGUGAUGAAGGCCUUAGGGUUGUAAAGCUCUUUUACCCGGGAUGAUAAUGACAGUACCGGGAGAAUAAGCGCCGGCUAACUCCGUG